CCUUUCUAGCUGAGUUUGAUCCUGGCUCAGGCUGGAUCACCUCCUUUCUAGCUGAGUUUGAUCCUGGCUCAGAGCGAACGCUGGCGGAAUGCUUAACACAUGCAAGUCGCACGGGCAGCAAUGUCAGUGGCGGACGGGUGAGUAACGCGUAGGAAUGUGUCCUGGGAUGGGGGAUAACGUCGGGAAACUGGCGCUAAUACCGCAUAUGAGCUGAGGCUCAAAGCCGCGAGGCGUCUUAGGAGCAGCCUGCGUCCGAUUAGCUUGUUGGUGGGGUAAAGGCUUACCAAGGCGACGAUCGGUAGCUGGUCUGAGAGGAUGAUCAGCCACACUGGAACUGAGACACGGUCCAGACUCCUACGGGAGGCAGCAGUGGGGAAUAUUGGACAAUGGGCGGAAGCCUGAUCCAGCAAUUCCGCGUGGGUGAAGAAGGUCUUCGGAUUGUAAAGCCCUUUCGACGGGGACGGAUGAUGACGGUACCCGUAGAAGAAGCCCCGGC
RNAcentral lists this ribosomal RNA (496 nucleotides) under uncultured Alphaproteobacteria bacterium. Its description in RNAcentral is "bacterial SSU rRNA". It matches the Rfam family "Bacterial small subunit ribosomal RNA", at positions 1 to 497 of the family's 1533-position model. Lineage: Bacteria; Pseudomonadati; Pseudomonadota; Alphaproteobacteria. The record is from RNAcentral.